This 253-nucleotide ribosomal RNA is filed under the name uncultured bacterium. Its description in RNAcentral is "partial 16S ribosomal RNA". It matches the Rfam family "Bacterial small subunit ribosomal RNA", at positions 524 to 776 of the family's 1533-position model. The record is from RNAcentral.
UACGAAGGGGGCUAGCGUUGUUCGGAAUUACUGGGCGUAAAGCGCACGUAGGCGGCCUAUUAAGUCAGGGGUGAAAUCCCGGGGCUCAACCCCGGAACUGCCUUUGAUACUGGUAGUCUCGAGUCCGGAAGGGGUGAGUGGAAUUCCGAGUGUAGAGGUGAAAUUCGUAGAUAUUCGGAGGAACACCAGUGGCGAAGGCGGCUCACUGGUCCGGUACUGACGCUGAGGUGCGAAAGCGUGGGGAGCAAACAGG